Molecule: ribosomal RNA, 1343 nt
Filed under: uncultured bacterium
Lineage: Bacteria
Description: 16S ribosomal RNA
Rfam family: Bacterial small subunit ribosomal RNA
Source: RNAcentral
GACGAACGCUGGCGGCGUGCUUAACACAUGCAAGUCGAACGGAAAGGCCCUGCUUUUGUGGGGUGCUCGAGUGGCGAACGGGUGAGUAACACGUGAGUAACCUGCCCUUGACUUUGGGAUAACUUCAGGAAACUGGGGCUAAUACCGGAUAGGAGCUCCUGCUGCAUGGUGGGGGUUGGAAAGUUUCGGCGGUUGGGGAUGGACUCGCGGCUUAUCAGCUUGUUGGUGGGGUAGUGGCUUACCAAGGCUUUGACGGGUAGCCGGCCUGAGAGGGUGACCGGCCACAUUGGGACUGAGAUACGGCCCAGACUCCUACGGGAGGCAGCAGUGGGGAAUAUUGCACAAUGGGCGGAAGCCUGAUGCAGCAACGCCGCGUGCGGGAUGACGGCCUUCGGGUUGUAAACCGCUUUCGCCUGUGACGAAGCGUGAGUGACGGUAAUGGGUAAAGAAGCACCGGCUAACUACGUGCCGGCAGCCGCGGUGAUACGUAGGGUGCGAGCGUUGUCCGGAUUUAUUGGGCGUAAAGGGCUCGUAGGUGGUUGAUCGCGUCGGAAGUGUAAUCUUGGGGCUUAACCCUGAGCGUGCUUUCGAUACGGGUUGACUUGAGGAAGGUAGGGGAGAAUGGAAUUCCUGGUGGAGCGGUGGAAUGCGCAGAUAUCAGGAGGAACACCAGUGGCGAAGGCGGUUCUCUGGGCCUUUCCUGACGCUGAGGAGCGAAAGCGUGGGGAGCGAACAGGCUUAGAUACCCUGGUAGUCCACGCUGUAAACGGUGGGUACUAGGUGUGGGGUCCAUUCCACGGGUUCCGUGCCGUAGCUAACGCUUUAAGUACCCCGCCUGGGGAGUACGGCCGCAAGGCUAAAACUCAAAGGAAUUGACGGGGCCCCGCACAAGCGGCGGAGCAUGCGGAUUAAUUCGAUGCAACGCGUAGAACCUUACCUGGGUUUGACAUGGAUCGGGAGUGCUCAGAGAUGGGUGUGCCUCUUUUGGGGUCGGUUCACAGGUGGAGCAUGCCUGUCGUCAGCUCGUGUCGUGAGAUGUUGGGUUAAGUCCCGCAACGAGCGCAACCCUUGUUCACUGUUGCCAGCACGUUAUGGUGGGGACUCAGUGGAGACCGCCGGGGUCAACUCGGAGGAAGGUGGGGAUGACGUCAAGUCAUCAUGCCCCUUAUGUCCAGGGCUUCACGCAUGCUACAAUGGCUGGUACAGAGAGUGGCGAGCCUGUGAGGGUGAGCGAAUCUCGGAAAGCCGGUCUCAGUUCGGAUUGGGGUCUGCAACUCGACCUCAUGAAGUCGGAGUCGCUAGUAAUCGCAGAUCAGCAACGCUGCGGUGAAUACGUUCCCGGG